GACGAACGCUGGCGGCGUGCUUAACACAUGCCAGUCGAACGGAAAGGCCCUGCUUGCAGGGUACUCGAGUGGCGAACGGGUGAGUAACACGUGGGUGAUCUGCCCUGCACUUCGGGAUAAGCCUGGGAAACUGGGUCUAAUACCGGCUAGGAGCCAUUUUUAGUGUGAUGGUUGGAAAGUUUUUUCGGUGUAGGAUGAGCUCGCGGCCUAUCAGCUUGUUGGUGGGGUAAUGGCCUACCAAGGCGGCGACGGGUAGCCGGCCUGAGAGGGUGGACGGCCACAUUGGGACUGAGGUACGGCCCAGACGCCUACGGGAGGAAGCAGUGGGGAAGAUUGCACAAUGGGCGCAAGCCUGAUGCAGCGACGCCGCGUGGGGGAUGACGGCCUUCGGGUUGAAAACUCCUUUCGCUAGGGACGAAGCUUUUUGUGACGGUACCUAGAUAAGAAGCACCGGCUAACUACGUG
This 465-nucleotide ribosomal RNA is filed under the name uncultured bacterium. Its description in RNAcentral is "partial 16S ribosomal RNA". It matches the Rfam family "Bacterial small subunit ribosomal RNA", at positions 28 to 507 of the family's 1533-position model. The record is from RNAcentral.